AUAGGUGGAUCUAGAGGGAGAUUAUCUUCCCUUUUCCCUUCCCCAAUAGGCAACCCUCGAUGGGUGUGCCAGGAAUGGGAUAUCGGGGGGAGGAGAAGAAAAGGGGUGGGAAGUGGUUGCCGCUUGCUGCAGCCAGCCUGAGUGAUGGUUAGGUGGUUAAUCAUGGUGGCCGUGAGGAAACAUGGGGUCACCGCUCCCCCCUUCCGCCUCCCGUGUGAUAAGCGAAGGUGGCGGGCAGCGCGGCGGGGGCACUCGCCCUGUCACCGCCACCGGCCAAAAGCGGGGGGGAAACGCGGAUCUCGCACGGACCCGCUGGCGGCGGCGACUCAGCUUGCAGUGGGGCUGGAGCAGAGCUGCUGAGGACCUCAGGAGGGCCCAUCUUUCCCAAGACAUUGUCUGCAGACCCUUCUGACCAACAGCGAAAGACUGAAGAGUAAAAGCAAUUUAAAAUCCCAGGGCACCUACAUGGAGGCAAGUGGCUCAGUUCUUCAGCCUCACUGCCCUUCUCUGAGACUCCUGGUUGGGAGAAUCUAUCCCACAGAUGCUUCUGGCAGGACCAUGUGUUUCCCGCAUGGGCAUAGCCCAUCAAAUCACCACUGUCAGCUUUCUGCAGAAAACAGGGCCAAGAGUCUGAAGCAAACUAGUCCUGCUGCAGCCCUGAAAAAGCAGGCUAUCUGAAAACAAAAGAUGUAAUUAAAUUUCCUUUCCACAUGGUGGAUGAAGAAGCUUUUACCUGGGGAAGAGAUGAAAAAUGUUCUUUUUGUAAGCCUAGUCCAGAGAGGCUUACUCCAGAAAGAAAAUCUUUGAGGUAUUCUCUGGCACGUGGGUCCUGCUAGGCUUCAGCCAGAUGAACUGUUUUCAAAAGCACUGGAAUGUAGUUUCAGCAAUAGUCGGUCAACAGAAAGAGAGACGGUGAGGGUAUUCUGUUGUAGAGAAUUUCUGAGUGAAUAUCCACAUAUUGUGGCAAAGAUGUCAAAGAAAACAGAUUUAAAAAAUUAAUGUGAAUCUUGGGAGUUGAACUCCUGGAAUCUGGCUCUGCCCUGACUGAUGGAAAACUGGAGCCAUUGCUGGAUGGGAGAUGGAAAUUUUCAACUCCAAUUUCAAACAAUUGACUGAAACUCAGCUGAUGAACUUUUUGCCCUGCUGAUGAAAAAAAAGGAAUUUCCCACUAUUUUUAAAAUUUAUUGCUCAGAAUGCAUAAGUACUAAGUUAGAGAUACAGCUUUUGGUGUAAGCCAGCAUAAUCCUUUUGCCACUGAAAUGUUCUGUUGUAUAGUAAUUUGACCCACUCUGUGUGUGUGUGAAAUUGUUGUCUAAAAUGUAUUGCUUAAAAUUGGUAUUUGCCUGUUUCCAGACAAAUCUGUUAAAGAAUUCUAAAAGAAAAUUAUGCAAAAGGAAGCAACUUACUCUUUAUUGUCCUGCGUGGAAAACACUUGAGUUCUGCGUUGUUUCAGAUCACUUCUGAAGGAACAGAAAUGGUUCAAUGUAAUACUACAAUGGUGUAAUUUUUUUAUAGGCUAGUUAAAUUAUUUUCAUGAGACAAAGAAAUCCCUUACAAUGACAGUGCUAUAGUUGCAAAGGAAUGAGUAGUGUGCUUGUAUUGUACUGAGAUGAUGGAAGCAUGCUGCUCUGAACGAGCUGAGUUUGGUCCAGGCCAAUACACAAUAAUGACCGAUGUUUUAAUAACACUUCAAUGGCAUGCAACAAGGGUUGAUAUCUCUGCAGCAACAAUAGGUAGUCAUUGAAGAUCUCAGCAGUGAAGCAAAAAGGCAGCAUUUUUGGAAGUGAUCUGCUUUUCCCAAACUCUCACUGAGAUUGGGAGAGAGGACUUAAACUAAGGUGAAGACUUGUGUCUAUGGAGCUGGAGCUACCUCCUCUCUUUAAGGUCUGCUCUCAAGUCUGCUGAGAUGAUCCCUGUCGCCUUUCGGUCUUUGGAUCAGUCCGUAUAUGAAAGAAUUACUUUAUUCCUAUCUCUGGUAUGAAAUCUGGUAUGAAAUUCAUUGAGAAGUCUGAAUGAGGGAACUUGGAAUCGUUCUGCUGGUACUCGUGGUGGAACUUUUCUGGAAAGAGAAGUUCGUGUUCUAUGUUUUCUCCUAAGAACAAAAAUCCCUAUGAAGUUCUGUGAUGUAAUUUGCUUAAACAAUAUUUUCUUCUGAAUGAAGCCAGGAAAGAGUUUCCUGUUAUAUUUCAGGGAAGUUAGGUAACGUGCAAAGUGAAUAUGUCAAAUAAUGGAGUUCUAGUAUAUAACAAUGAAGUCAACACUAAUAAAAGUUUGCUGUCUUUCUAAAAUGGUCUUGUG
Molecule: long non-coding RNA, 2298 nt
Filed under: Calidris pugnax (ruff)
Lineage: Eukaryota; Metazoa; Chordata; Aves; Charadriiformes; Scolopacidae
Description: lncRNA (ENSCPUG00000011646.1)
Source: RNAcentral